UUUGAUGUAAGCACACUCAUUUGGAACCAUGCAUAAUUUGGCCAAAGGUAACAAACAAGGUAAGCAACUCCAACAAAAUUCACCGGAAAAAACCAUGCAUUGCAUACUUUGAAAAGGACCAAACCGCAUCAUCCAAGACGCCUCUCUCGUUAACCACCACCAUACCACACCAACCACAGGUAGCAAAACAACUUGCGCUACAGACCAUCACCAUCUCAAGUCUCAGAUUCUGUCGAAGCAGGCAGCUAACAAGGCAAAGGCAAGGCUGUUCGGCGACGUCGGAAACUUAUUAUCAUCAUCAUCAUCAUACCACACCAACCACAGGCAGGUCCAUGUGCAGUAAGGAAGUAAAAACCAGGGCGGGACGGAGACCGGCCGAUCAGUCGACGACCUCCUCCGUCUUCUUGGGCUUGGACAGGAGGUACCAGCCCAGGGCGCUCAGGCCGGCGAGGGUGCCAGCCAGCACGGCGUAGUUCCUGUUCUUGUCGGUCGACGUGCCUGCUGCGGAUGCCGACGCGGUCGAACUCACAUCGGCUGCUGCGGCGCUUGGGGUGGACGGAGCUUGCUCUCCUGCGCUGGGACCCUGCAGGAACUCACAGCAGCUCUUGUCAGUUCCAUGAACACACAGAGGAUAUAUAUUAGUACUGCAUCUCAACUUAAGAAGCUACAACUUAGAUAUCCAUUGCACAUAUAUAACUCUGUCAAUAUGCUGAAGACAACAUCAAAAGAAACAUAUCUUGUCAAUUUCACGACUAACACAGAACAUACAUAGUAGUGUUUCUCAACUUAGGAAGCUGAAACAUACACAUCCAUUCAAGAUAUAUAAUCUAGGGCAGAAGGAUGCUAAUUUGCUGCACACAGCAUCACAAGAACUUACACAUAACUAGUGUAUCUCAACUUAGAAAGCUAAACCAUAUGUAUCCACUGAACAUAUAUAACUUUACAUCUCAAGAACACAUACAAACGGGUAAUGCAUUUCAAGAACCACAAGACUUUACAUCUCUAGUAAGAUCCAUGAACCACACAGAACACAUGCAAACGGGUAAUGCAUUUCAACUUAGCAAGCUAAAACAUACAUAUCCAUUACGCAUAUAUAAUUUUGUAGAAAAGGAUGCUAAUUUGCUGUACAUGGCAACAUGAGCAGACAAGAAUAAUGGAAGUAAAACAUCAACAACCACUGCCCAGUUGAGAGAUUCAAGCACUUGUGUGUUCACAUACCUUGCGUGCGAGCUUCUCCCGCUUCUCUUGUUCCAUUUUCUGCAUAAACAGACCAGAAAUAGGUCAUCAGACAUGUUAUUAAGUUUUAACAAAGCAUCAGCACAUACACAGAAGACCACUUAUGCCAAUACUAUAUCUUUAUAUUAACAAAGCAUCAGCACAUAUACAGAAGACCAUGUAUGCCAACAGUAUGGCUUAUUUCAGAUUCAGAGUUACUGAGUUAGAAACAGGAAAAACUGGUGCUUCUGGAUGUCCUGGCUAAUUUCAAGUGUUCAAAUAGUUGAACUUGUACUAUGGAUGAGCCUAGUGCUUCAUUCGUCAAGUGAACAGAGAUAACAGGGCAUAACACCAUACAUAAAGUGAUAUAUACACAUGUAUGAGCAUACAACCGGUUUGCCACUGAGAUAAAACAUUUUAUUGUUGAAGACUCCAACUGAAAGCAGCUAACAAGGUAACAGAUCCAAUUCAAUGCUUAUGAUUAUGAAUGUAAGACGAGCAUUAUCUGAAGCAAUGGGUGCAUCAAAGCAACGGUUAAUUAAUGUGCUGCAGAAAGAAGUAUCAAUUACGUCUACCCGUACAACUGUUAUCAAGGAUUCCUAGCUGAAUUUUACUUCUGAUAAGUCUAGUGCUUCAUUUGUCAACUAAACACAGAAUAUACAAUGUCAUGUAUAUAUAACUAUAUAAUAUGAACAUGGUACUAAAAUGUCACUGCUGAGUAUAAACAAUUUAUGGUUGACGACUUCAACUGAAAACUACUAAUAAGGUAACAGUCCCAGUUUAAUGAUUACAGAUGGCAAGACAAGCAUUAUUUUAAUGCAAUGAGGUGUUGUAUGAAGAACAGGGUUCCUAUUGGUGUUCUGCAGAAAUAAUGAAAUAACAAUGAUUCUCAGGUGACUAAACAGAAACACACAAAACAAGCAACUAGCAUAGUGGUAGAAUUUUUCGACUCGCCGCGAACCUAAGCUAUAACAUAAUCAUAUAAUUACGCAUUCACAUGAUGAACAAUAAAAACAAUAAACAUAACUGAUGAGUUCACAAGAGCCACAGCAAAAAUUAUAGCCCAACUGGACCACAAAACGGAAGAAAGAGGUUCAGGGAACAGGUCACGCAGUGGCGAGAAUAAAACAUUCUACACAUAACAGAAGGUUCAUGUAACCUCGAAAACACAGCACCACACAUAUCACAGUGCCUACUGAUAGUAUUUGCAAUUCCUAUCUGUAUAUCCAAAUAUCAAUCCCCAAUUCCAGGCAAACUAAAACCCAUAUCACAGCAACCAUCUAACAAAGCUCCAAUAGUAAAAAAAGCAUGAGGAACAAAUAAAAUCAGUUCAGAAGCAGGUUUGCAAAGAUCCCCAAAUCACCCACUUCGCCAUCAGAACAGCUACUGUGUCAAUGGGCAUAACUGAGCAACCAGCCUACAUCAGAAGGUUCACAUAUAAUCACAGAAGGCCAACACUGACACAUUGUUGCCAGUGCCUACUGAUAGUAUUUGCAAUCUUAUCUGUAUAUCCAAAUAUCAACCCUCAAUUCCAAGCAAACUAAAGCCCCAUAUCACAGGAGACGAACCAUCCAACCAAAGCUCCAAUAGCAAAAAAUAAAAAAAUAAAAAAAUAGAAGCAUGAUGAGCAAAUAUAAUCAAUUGAGAGGCAGAUUUGCAGAGAUCCGCAAUUCCCCCACUACACCACCAGAACAGCUAUCAUGUCCAUGGGCAUAACUAAGCAACUAACCCGCACUUAUAAGAUCCACAUAAUAAUCACAAAAGGGCUAAUAUUGACAGGUUGUUGCCAUGGCAUACUAGUACGAUUUGCACUUGCCCAAAUCAAUCCCCACUAGCAAACCACCUGAAACUUGACACAGCAGAGCAACCAUCCAAUUCGAUGAGCACAUAAAAGUAAUUUUCAGUGGCCAAAGAUCCCCCAAAGGCCAAAUCCACAGGAACAGAAGAGCUACACUGCAUCAACAGACGCAACCGAGCAACCAACCAUGAAUACGAGACAUAACCGAGAACGUCCGGUCACUCGACCUGGGAGCGCCUCAAAUCACCGUCCCCAACCCGCGCAGGGCUCAACGCCACCAACAAAACAGCCGGCAGGUGCUCUUCUGUUCGCCAACCAACGCGGGGUGCAUAAAUCGCCAGCCAACUACGCGACACGGAAACGACCACGCGACCGGCGGAAACCCCCCGGCGGGCGCGCGGAUCGCGCCGGGAACCCUAGACUAGCCCAAGACGCGCGGGGCAGACCAGACGAGACGGGGCCGCGCCGCGUCGCGUCCACGAGGAGCCGUCUCGCACCGGAGCGGGGACGGGGGACGGGGGGAAUCAUACCUUGAUGUAGACGUUCUCGGCGGCCCUCUCCUCCUCGCUGAGCACCUUGCCGGAGGAGCGGAGCCUGGUCUGCACGAACCGCGCCGCCGCCCUGCCCGGGGCCCUCGUCGCCGCCCUCGCCGCCGCCGCCAUCGACAUCGCCCUCGCCGCCG
RNAcentral lists this long non-coding RNA (3695 nucleotides) under Triticum aestivum (bread wheat). Its description in RNAcentral is "long non-coding RNA (TAES_LNC003980)". Lineage: Eukaryota; Viridiplantae; Streptophyta; Magnoliopsida; Poales; Poaceae. The record is from RNAcentral.